CACUUCUUUUCCGUGUAUCA
RNAcentral lists this small nuclear RNA (20 nucleotides) under Arabidopsis thaliana (thale cress). RNAcentral describes it as "snRNA_09526". The record is from RNAcentral. Lineage: Eukaryota; Viridiplantae; Streptophyta; Magnoliopsida; Brassicales; Brassicaceae.